UUCCGUAGGUGAACCUGCGGAAGGAUCAUUAUU
Molecule: ribosomal RNA, 33 nt
Filed under: Thanatephorus cucumeris
Lineage: Eukaryota; Fungi; Basidiomycota; Agaricomycetes; Cantharellales; Ceratobasidiaceae
Also listed under: 2 other names
Description: partial 18S ribosomal RNA
Source: RNAcentral